RNAcentral lists this long non-coding RNA (2455 nucleotides) under Heterocephalus glaber (naked mole-rat). Its description in RNAcentral is "lncRNA (ENSHGLG00100047033.1)". The record is from RNAcentral. Lineage: Eukaryota; Metazoa; Chordata; Mammalia; Rodentia; Bathyergidae.
CUGGAAUGCUCAUAUAUUGAAAUCCAACGUGAUACCAAUCUGUAACACUAACGUUAACCCUGACUAUCAUGCUCACACUCAAAUAAUCAGUUACCUGAAUUUCAACACUAUCUGUAAUUCUUACCCUAACACUAACCCAAAAACUAACAUUCAUACCCACACUUCAAAACUCAGGUGUAUGUAUUUGAACCCCUGAAUGUAACCCUGAACCUAACUCUAACCAAAACCCUAACCCUAACUCUACCCAACAUAGCCACAUUGCAAUGCUCAAGUACUUGAAAUCCCACAUGGUACCUCACCUUAACACUAAACUUAACCCUAACCAUUAUAUAGGGACUUAAAUUCCAAGACUAUGAAUUCAUAACCCUGAACCCAACACCAACCAUAACCCAAAAGCUAACACUAAAUCUACAACUCAUAUACACAGGGUAAUAUUCAGGUUCUUCAAAUCCAAAACUAUAUGUAACCUUUAAACUAAUCCUAAUCCCUAACCAUCAUACUCACACUCCAAUAAUCAGGUAAUUGUAUUCCAACCAUAUCCCUAACCCUCAGGCUAACCCCAACCCUAAUCUGAAUGGAAAACCUAAAACUACCUGUCAUAGAAACAUUGUAAUGCUCAGCUAAUUGAAAUUGAACAAUGUACCUCACAAUAACACUAUAUCUAACCCUAGUGUUCAUAUUUACACUAAAAUAAUCAGGUACUUGAUAUUCCACCAUAUUCCUAACCCUAAAAACCCUAACCCUACGCAUCAUAGCCACAUUGCAUGAUCAGGUAAUUUAAACCAAACAUUUUACCUCACCCUAACUCUAAACCUGUUACUAACAUUCAUACUCAUACUACAAAAAUUAGGUAUAUGGUUGUAAUUCAUACCUAAUUUACCGUAUCUCUAACCUUAACCCUCACCAUAACCCUAACACUAAACAUAAUUCACACACUCCAAUAGGCAGGUAUAUAAAUUCCAACACUAUUUGUAAGCCUUAUCCUGACAGGACCUCAAAAACUAACAUUCAUAUCCACACUCAAAUACUCAGGUAAAUGAAUUUGAACCAUAAACCUAAGCCUGACCCUAACCAUCAUGUUCAAAAUCCAUAUCCCAAACCCUAACCCUAACCCUAACCCUAACACAAACCAUGAUUUCCACAUUCCAACAGGUAGGUAUGUGAAUGCCAACACUAUUCAAAGCCCUUACAAUAACAGGAAUACUAAGCCUAACAAUCACACUCAAACUCCAAAGCCAAUUCACAUGAAUUUGAACCCUAAAAAUAAUCUUAAACAUAGCCCUAACUGUAACCCUCAUACCCACAAUCUAAUACCCAAGUAUUUGUAUUUCUACACUAUCCCUAACCCUAAUGCUAAAAUUGACAUUUACACUAACUUUCAAAACCAUACUACUACAAUACUAGGAUUUUUAAAUCCUGACACUAUUCCUGAACUGAACCUUUAAUAUAACCCUAAACCUAACCCUAUCCCUAAAUGCUAGCAGUCAGCCACACUAAAAUGCUCUGUAUCGAAAUCCAACAGGAUACCAAUCCCUAACACUAAUCAUAACCCUUACUAUCAUGCUCACACUCAAAUAACCAGGUAGUUGAAUUCCAACACCAACCUUAACCCUAACACUGACCCUGUCACUAACCAUAACACCCCCACUUCAAUAAUCAGGGACCUGAAUUUAAACACCAUCUGUAACCCUUACACUAACUUGAACUCAAAAACUAACAUUCAUACCCACACUUCAAAACUCAGGUAGGGGCUGGGGAUUUAGUUCAGUGGUUCCACCACCUGCCUUGCAAGCACAAGGUUCUGAGUUUGAUCCCUGGUAACAAACCAAAAAAAAAAAAACCCUCAGGUAUAUGAAUUUGAACCCUGAACCUAACCCUAACCCUAACCAUCAUAUCCAUUAAUACACUACAGAGGUGGUUGAAUUCUGACACAAUCCCUAAACCUAACCCUAAAACUAAAGCGAACAGUAACAAUCAAACCCACACCCCAAUCACAGGUACUUCAAUUGUAAGACUAUCACUUACCCCAAACAUAACCCUGUCUAAAACUCUAAACCUAACACUAUCAGUAAUAGCCACAAUUCAUUACUGAGGACCUUCAAAUCUAAACAUAUACCUAACCCUAACACUAAUCCUAACCCUAACCAUCAUACUCACACUUCAAUAAUCAGGUACUUGAAUUUCAAACAGAUCUCUUACCCUAACACUAACCCUAAACCUAAUGUUCACCAUAACACUAAGCAUAAUCCACACCCUCCAAUAGUCAGCUGCCUAAAUUUGAUCAGUAUCUUUAACCCUUACCCUAACAUGAACUCAAAAACUAACAUUCAUAUCAACACUCCAAAACUCAAGUACAUGAAUUUGAACCCUAAACCUAACUCUAAUCAUCAUAUUCACACUCUAAUUUAUAGAAACUUAAACCCAAGACUAUUACUGACACCAACACCAACCCUAA